GAUGAACGCUGGCGGCGUGCCUAACACAUGCAAGUCGAGCGGAAGGACGAUACGCUUGUUUCUCUGAUGUUAGCGGAGCGCGGGUGAGUAACGCGUGGAUCCCCUACUUGUCUUUCUGGGAUCACUUCGGAAAACCGUAGAUAAUACGGGAUGAUAUUUUGAACCGCGUGGGUGAAAGGUGAGAGACGGUCUUGCGGUCUGGUAUCGAUGGAUCCGCGCUUCAUUAGCUAGUUGGUAAGGUAACGGCUUACCAAGGCAACGAUGCAUAGCCGACCUGAGAGGGUGAUCGGCCACACUGGAACUGAGACACGGUCCAGACUCCUAAGGGAGGCAGCAGUAGGGAAUCGUACGCAACAGGCGAAAGCCUGACAGAGCAACCCCGCGUGAGUGACAAAGGCCCUCGGAGCGUAAAACUCUCUUAUUAGGGAAGAACAUAUGUGGAAGGAACCGAGGAGAGAGUGACGGUACCUAAUCAGAAAGCACCGGCUAACUACGUG
This 497-nucleotide ribosomal RNA is filed under the name uncultured bacterium. RNAcentral's name for it is "partial 16S ribosomal RNA". It matches the Rfam family "Bacterial small subunit ribosomal RNA", at positions 28 to 507 of the family's 1533-position model. The record is from RNAcentral.